GCUAUCAAAUUGCACCUUCCCAGGGUGGUCUGGGCUUAACGUUAGCCAGAUUGGAGCUACGGGAGCUGCAGGUGGAACUCAAACCUUGGACCUGGUUUAGCGCUCCUAACCUAGAGACUUUUAAAUUAAACAAACGUCCAAGAUACCUGCCUUUCACUAGAAUAUCAGCCGAUAACAAAAAUGGUCCGAAAAGCUCCGUAACAUUUUUUAGGGCUACAGACAGGCUUUCUUAUCACUUUCUUUCUGCUCUGGGGUGCCCUUUUUCUCUUGAAAAUUCAUAUUCUGCCAGGUCCUUUUAAAAGCCAGUAUCUUUCCAACUCUCAUCUGAAGCUCCAGCUGCCCUGGCUGCCAGUUGAGCAUCUGUCUCCGACCCUUCUGCUUCCUCGAAGGAGGGGGCAGACAGCGAUGCAAGUGUCUUGUAAUGACAGCGCUACUGCAGAAAAUACUUUAUGGACUGAAAGAGAUCGACAGAGAGGUGGGGAAGAAUGGAAGAGCCAGAGGAUGUGGAGGAGCACUGUGAAAUGCUGUCUUCAGGACAUGUCAGUUGCACUCAUGAACUCUCUGAAGCUGUGGCUCCCUGCACAAAUUCAAGUCUGCAUUCCAACAGGUAGCAUCGAUCGGACUCAGCAGGCUAUUAGCCAGAAAAGGAGAGGCCAUUAAGCAGAAAGGAGAAGGGGAGAAGGGGAAAGGAGUUAGGGUGCACACGAUCAAGAUGCACUGCUCACAUUCAAGAAUUGUCAAACACGGAAUAAAAGAUAUUCUAUUUUCUUAAAAA
Grammomys surdaster is the source of this 775-nucleotide long non-coding RNA. RefSeq lists it as uncharacterized. The record is from RefSeq and is a predicted model, not a curated record. The transcript has 2 exons. NCBI's taxonomy places the organism in Eukaryota, Metazoa, Chordata, Mammalia, Rodentia, Muridae.